UGUAAGUUUUCAAAAUACCAACAUUAUAACAUCCCCAAAAAUCAACAAAAAACGUUGGUUAAUCAGAUAUACCACCUAGUUCGAUGUGAAUAUCUUCCCAAGCUCCUUGUCAAUGGUCUCCAUCUUCUCUUGCACCGUCUCCACUGCAUCCUUGAGAUAUGAGUAAACCAAGUGAUCAGCAGAUGCUUGAUCCUUCAUGAGCUUUAUGCCGUUGUCCCUCAACGAAAAUUUUGGUUCUUCUAGUAGUUUCCCCCAGACUUCCUGGUUCAUCUUCUGUUGUUAUAAGACCUUCCUCUGCGCAUCAAAAAUACUGUUAGUAGAAUUUACAUCAGACGCAAGCUCUGUCAACGUGCGGCUGGAGAGGAGCUCCUUGAUGGCUUUGCUUGCCGGAUCAGUAGACAUUCUUGUUUCUUGAUGAGAGUUGUUAUUUUUUUGCAAAAAUCUAAUAUGGGGAAUCAUAUAUGUAUGAAGAUUGUGAUUUCAUAUAGUAGUUGUGGGAGAUUUGGUAUGAGUGUUUAUCUCAAAAAGAGAAUCGAGGAACAAAUUGCUGAAGAUAAGUCUUGUAAUGACUUGUUGGAAACUAAAAUUUAUAGGGUCAGAGAGAACAUGAAGAGGUAAGGAGAUUUUAAAUUUGUUGUCUGGUAUGAAAGAGUCAAGUGUCCGAGAGGUGGCUAUGAUGUUUAUGGUUGAUCUAGGAGAGCGGGAUGAGAAACAGUUAAAGGAGCUUGCGGAUGCAAUAACCGUCUUAAGAUGCUCUAUGGACAUGAAGAUCAAGUUUUUGGAGUCCUUUUUCUGAUGGGUAUUAUGUAUCAUUUUCAUAUGGGUAGUGAAAUCAUGUGUUUUUUAUGUUUGUCUAAGUGUUUUUCUUGUAUCGAAAUUGUGUUUGAAUAAGGAAAUUUUCCCAUUGUUUUUA
Helianthus annuus (common sunflower) is the source of this 913-nucleotide long non-coding RNA. RefSeq lists it as uncharacterized. Lineage: Eukaryota; Viridiplantae; Streptophyta; Magnoliopsida; Asterales; Asteraceae. The transcript is spliced from 2 exons. The record is from RefSeq and is a predicted model, not a curated record.